UACGUAGGGUGCGAGCGUUGCCCGGAUUUAUUGGGCGUAAAGGGCGCGUAGGCGGCCAUCUAAGUCAGACGUGAAAUCCCCCGGCUUAACCUGGGAACUGCGUCUGAUACUGGACGGCUGGAGUUUGGGAGAGGGAUGUAGAAUUCCAGGUGUAGCGGUGAAAUGCGUAGAUAUCUGGAGGAAUACCGGUGGCGAAGGCGGCAUCCUGGACCAAUACUGACGCUGAGGCGCGAAAGCUAGGGGAGCAAACGGG
Molecule: ribosomal RNA, 253 nt
Filed under: uncultured bacterium
Lineage: Bacteria
Description: partial 16S ribosomal RNA
Rfam family: Bacterial small subunit ribosomal RNA
Source: RNAcentral